CCCUUAGAUGUCCGGGGCCGCACGCGCGCUACACUGGUCGAUGCAACGAGUUUCUUUCCUUGGCCGACAGGCCUGGGCAAUCUUUGAACAUCGAUCGUGAUCGGGAUAGAUUCUUGUAAUUUUUGAUCUUAAACGAGGAAUUCCUAGUAAACGCAAGUCAUCAGCUUGCAUUGAUUACGUCCCUGCCCUUUGUACACACCGCCCGUCGCUCCUACCGAUUGAAUGGUCCGGUGAAGCGUUCGGACCGUGGCCUUUGGACGGUUCGCCGUCUGUUGGCUGCGGGAAGUUCGUUAAACCUUAUCAUUUAGAGGAAGGAGAAGUCGUAACA
RNAcentral lists this ribosomal RNA (328 nucleotides) under uncultured eukaryote. Its description in RNAcentral is "partial 18S ribosomal RNA". It matches the Rfam family "Eukaryotic small subunit ribosomal RNA", at positions 1470 to 1796 of the family's 1831-position model. The record is from RNAcentral.